Molecule: long non-coding RNA, 3622 nt
Organism: Neopelma chrysocephalum (saffron-crested tyrant-manakin)
Lineage: Eukaryota; Metazoa; Chordata; Aves; Passeriformes; Pipridae
Exons: 3
Source: RefSeq, a predicted model, not a curated record
ACAUGCUGCCACUCAGAGGUUUUAACAAAUGAGGUCAUUUUCACCUGCUCUUUGAAAUGAUUUACUGAUAGUUUCUGCCAAUGAAACGCUCUCAGGUGUUUGUUCUCUGUGUGUGUGACAUCCAGAGGGCUCAGGGCUGGGCCCUCCUGUCCCACUCCAGGCUGAAAUAAGUGAGACCGUUAUCAGUCUGCAGGUGAAUCACAAAGUCCUGCUGGGAUUUCUCCAGGCUGUGGGGUGGAUUUUUUUUUGGCGUUUUCUGCGUUAGACACACGGGGGCGAUGGAAAUCGCCUUUUCCUCCGGAGCUUGCGGCUUUGAAAUGCUGAAUAACCACAGGUUUGUGUCCCCAAGCACAGAAGGAUAAAAUAUUUCUGUUCAGUUACAAAUAACCGCCGACAUUUCAAGUGGCUGAGACUCCAGAGACUCCAGAAAACUUUUCCAUAAGCAUUGAUAUUACUUAAUUUAAGAUGUUUAAGUUUAAAACGAGAGCAAAUGGGGAGCCUCAAGGGCUUGUGUGUCAGUGUUUGUUUUGCAUGCCUGUUUAGUUCAGAUAUUCAUGGUGGGUCAGGAUGGAUUUCAGUAUAAAUAUUUAAUAUUUACCAUCUAUCAGGUGGUGUAAAACAUUCUCUUUGCGUUCUUUUGCAGGUUUUUUAUUUCAGUGUAUUCGGCUGCUUUAGUUCAAUGAUUUUUUUCCAUCUAAAAUUGAAAAGCCGAGAGUAGAAUUGAAAAAAAAAAAAACCAACACCAAAACCCACUGUAGUAAAGGUGUGAAAAGAUAAGGUAGUUUGGGAAUCUCCAAUAGCACAGCUGAUGUGAGGACCAUUGGAUUUACUCCAUGCCCAAGAGGCCUUCCUGAUAAAUUUGUCUUCAUACACUUCACUUCAGUAUCCUUUUCUUAGGCUGUAUUUCUAUACUCAUUAAUUUUUAUGCAAUUUGCUCAAGAUAGAAAUCCUUAGGAACGCAAAAUUCACCCUGUAAAAAUGCAAAAAUAUUGGAAGGAGAAUCAGAUUAUGAAUAAUGACAAACUAAAUGUUUAUUUUUAAUGCGUUUUUUCCCCGUACCGUUACUGGAUAUUCACUUUCACUUUCUCAUUUGUUCUGCAGCUUCUCUUCCUGGGCUGGGAAUGCUGAGACUUUGGAGCUUUACAGGAGGAUUUAGGGCACUUCCUGGAGCUGGAAGGGGUACUUGGGCCCAGGAACAGCCCAUCUCGUGGAUUGUGUCAGCGAUGGCAGCUCACCUGGAGAGAAUGUGGUGGUGUGUGAGUGAUUGUCCCUGCAAACAGGCAGAAUGAGCAUUGUGAAGAUUAACAUUCCCUUUCUAAGGCUUUUUUUAAAGCAGCUAAACCAUGAUUUUUCUUUAGGAAGGGAUCUGACCUUUCUCUCCAUUACCUGCCUGCCAGGGUGUGAGCAGUGCCAGGCUGGAUGUGUCACCCACCCCCCUCACCUGGGAUGAUCUGCCCUGUGUUUGCCCUGGGGACGUUAUCAGAGCCUGGGGGAGAGAGGCGGAACCCGAAUUUGGCGUCACGAAAGGUAAAAAUCAAUUUCCCUGUAUUUUUUUUUGGAGUUUAUUUACGUGCUUUGCUAAGGCUAAACUUCCUUGUUUUGAGAAAACGGAGUGGCACGUGUUCACAGAGCACGUGCUUGUAAGUCAUGGAAUGAUAGUAAAUAAUGUCCUGUGUCCAAUUUCCGGGCAUGAUAGGAAAAGGCGUGGAUUUAACCACCCCUUGUCCAAAGCAGAAUGUGGUUAUGACUCAAAAUCCAGUAAAACUAUUGGAAAGUUUGGGUCUGAACUUUGUGAAUCUGUGUGUUUGUAUUAAAACACAGAUCAGUGCUGCCUGACAGCCCUUCCUGUGAAGGAACUUGAACCUUGAACACGUUUUUACCUAAUCCUUUGCAACUAUUUCAGUCAAGAAUCGAGGGACAUUUUGAAUCAUUUCUGCUCCUGUGUAAGUCACAGCAAAACCCCCCAGCUGUCCUAAAUAUGGGAUUUGAUUCAGCAUGGCCAGUAGUCAUUGCUGGGUAUUCCUUACCCUGCAAUAUAUUCCAAAUCACAUAUGGUAAUUGCUCUGAAAUCACAUUUCCUUCUAGGGAGUGUCCCACCACCACCUCUUCACUGUGAGGUGAGAUUUUCUCGCUGGAUUCAGUGGGAAGAGCAGGUGGGAAAGAUAAAGCCCAGAGCUUUUAUUUGCUUGUGUAAAAUAACAUAUGGAAUAUUUUGGAAUCUAUUCUCUGCUAUACGUAUACAGGCUAUAAACAACUGUCCUGCCCUCUGAUGUGAUGUUCCAGUGCCUGAUCACCCUCUGGGGGGAGAACCUGUUCCUGAGAUCCAACCUGAACCCCCCUGGCACAGCUCCAGCUGUUCCCUGGCUCCUGUCACACCGAGCAGGGCUCGGAGCUGCCCCUCGGGAGGAGCUGCAGCCCCUGGUGAGUCUCCCCUCAGCCUGCUCUGCUCCAGCUGAACACACCAAGUGCCCUCAGCCACUCCUCACGUGGCUUCCCCUGACCCUUCACCAUCUUCAUAGCCUAAAAAAAUCACCUUCCAAACCCAUGGGUUUUUUUUCAGGUUGAUGUAUUUAAUAACUUGCUCUUUUUCACGUGUUCGUGCCUCUCUUUGCCCUCGGAUGGGAGCGUUGCCGCAGGAUUUCGGGGUGUGAAGCAAUCCCUCCCCCCCCCAGUGUUUGUGCCUGGCUGGGAGCACUGGGCAGGGCAGACAGGCAGUGUGCAGGUGCAGGUUUUAGCACGCCUGGAGCUCUGGGAGCACCAGCGAGGAUGAACUCAGCACCUGUCGUAAUCCCGGGUUUUGUAAGGUCUGUAUGUGGUUAUUAUCAGUGAUUUGGGACCAAUCCCUCAGCAAGCCAAGCACUCCCCCUCACUUCUGCAGGAGCUGGGAUUUGGGGCUGGAGGUGAUUGACAACCUUUCUCUUUUAGCUCCUUCACAAAAAUGCUUCACCAGAGGAAGAUUCUUUAUGUAAAAGACACGUUUGUAUCUAUAAAUAAAAGUGUCCAUGCCCGAAUUUUCCAGGUUUGGUCUGGAUGGAAGGAUGUGAGAACACGGUCUGUUCCCCCAGUAAUUUCAUUAGCUACAAAGCCCCAAAUCAGAUUUUCUGGCUGUGUAAUUCCUGCCUGCAGCAGGCACAUAUCCCCCCACGUGCUCCCAAGUCAGUGUAGUUUCCUGCUCGAGCACAGUCUCGCACUCUCUAACACUGCCUCGGUCUUGAAAUGCAUCUUAAAAAGAAAUUGCCUGGAGUUUGGCCCUGGAGUGUGUGGCUCAGGGAACUCACUGUUCCAUCACCACUCCUGCUGCUGAAGUGUCUGUGAGCCCGAGGCUGUCCCAGAGCCAGGGUGGGCUCUGAAGUGCAGGAAUAAAGAACCCAAAAAUAUAAAUGAUACAGGAAAACCCUGCUUCCCCAUGAGGAGGAGCUGUGGCUGCCCUGUCCCUGGAAGGGCUAGCAGUGAUGGGCCCUGCCUGAAGACUCCUGGAAGAGCCCCCAAAGCUGUUUGUGCAGGAUCAGCCUGCACAGGUGACCAAAUCCAGCAGCAUCGGGAAUUAAACUUGUGUUACUUAUCCCACUUAAAUUGCACCAACCCCGUAAUGCCUCAAAGUUCAAAUAAAACACAAAAGAUA